AUACACACACAUACUCACACAUACCACACUCACACAUAUCACACACUCAGACACUCACACUCACACCAUAUCACACACAUAUCACACACUCACACACACUCAUAUACACAUACACCCACACCACACACACACAUACACACACUCACACACACACCACACUCACACAUAUCACACACUCACACACACUCACACACACUCACUCACACACUCACACAUACCACACUCACACACACACUCACACAUAUCACACACACCACUCACUCUCACAUACACACCACACUCACACCCACCACACUCAUAUACACAUACCCCCACACCACACACACACACUCACACAUAUACUCACACAUACCACACUCACACAUAUCACACACUCACACACACACUCACACACACAUACUCACACAUACCACACUCACACAUAUCACACACUCACACUCACACAUAUCACACACACCACACUCACUCUCACAUACACACCACACUCACACACACACUCAUAUACACAUACACCCACACCACACACACACACUCACACAUAUCACACACUCACACACACACCACACUCACUCUCACAUCCCCACACAACCCUCUGGCGGCCCUUACCCACUCCUGUUCUGUGUGUGUUUUUCAGCGGAGAGGUCGGGCUACCCCCCCUCCCUGGUACCCGCACUGGCGUCUCUGGGGCUUCUCCGCGCCACCCCCGGGGUCCGGGCACUCACCCCGCCAUCGUCAUCGUCGUCCUCGUCCAGGCAGUGCAGGGUGCUCAGCUGCGGGUCCCCACGCACCCUCAGCUCCGCGAUGCUGCCCUACACGCAGACGGGAGAGGUCACCAGCGAUGCCGGCAGAGCCCGCCGGUGCUGGCCCCGCCCCCGCCCCCACCCCCGCCCGGCCCUGAGAGAGCACAGGAGGCUCGGGUGCUUCCCUCCAGGGCCAAAAGCUUCACAUCAGGGAGACAGCAAGGGGCUGGAGGGGGCAGUGUCCUGGGCACUCAGGGUCAGCAUUUGGGGCAGAGGGUGGCCGGGGCCCCAGGGGGCAGCUGCUCCAAGGCACCUCGUGAGCCCUGUGGCCCAGGGCAGGGGAGUGCAGCGCCAAGGAAGGCCCGGAUGUGAGCCUGUCUCAGGACAGCUGCGGCCAGUGCCCCCCCAGGGCACCACGAGGCCUGCCGGCACCCGCAGCCCUGCAGGGGGAAGAGGGGCCCGGUGCCUUUGUCGACAGGGGCUCCCGCUGGGCCUGUUCCGGUAUUUCCGGAUUGCUACUGAACGUUGUCAUCCGGGGCACCAGCGUCAGCGUGUGUUCUUCCUCAACAGAGCCUGCCGGCGGCAAUCCCGAGUGAGCUGUUCUGGGACUCCCACGGCGGGCGCGUGUGGGCUGGGGACGGCCAGCCAGCCGCGUGGGGCCUCAGGCUCUCUGCCAGGCUCCUCUGUGCUCGCCUGGAACACGGAGCCCACGGGCGUGGCUGCUGCAGCGAAUCUCAGCUGUGGACGCUGA
This 1491-nucleotide long non-coding RNA is filed under the name Oryctolagus cuniculus (rabbit). Its description in RNAcentral is "lncRNA (ENSOCUG00000036242.1)". Lineage: Eukaryota; Metazoa; Chordata; Mammalia; Lagomorpha; Leporidae. The record is from RNAcentral.